This 203-nucleotide ribosomal RNA is filed under the name Staphylococcus haemolyticus. RNAcentral's name for it is "partial 16S ribosomal RNA". It matches the Rfam family "Bacterial small subunit ribosomal RNA", at positions 327 to 523 of the family's 1533-position model. Lineage: Bacteria; Bacillati; Bacillota; Bacilli; Caryophanales; Staphylococcaceae. The record is from RNAcentral.
CGGUCCAGACUCCUACGGGAGGCAGCAGUAGGGAAUCUUCCGCAAUGGGCGAAAGCCUGACGGAGCAACGCGCGUGAGUGAUGAAGGUCUUCGGAUCGUAAAACUCUGUUAUUAGGGAAGAACAUACGUGUAAGUAACUGUGCACGUCUUGACGGUACCUAAUCAGAAAGCCACGGCUAACUACGUGCCAGCAGCCGCGGUAA